UACGUAGGGGGCAAGCGUUGUCCGGAUUUAUUGGGCGUAAAGAGCGUGUAGGCGGCUUGGUAGGUCCGCUGUGAAAACUCGAGGCUCAACCUCGAGAUGUCGGCGGAAACCACUUGGCUAGAGUCCGGAAGAGGAGAGUGGAAUUCCUGGUGUAGCGGUGAAAUGCGUAGAGAUCCGGAGGAACACCAGUGGCGAAGGCGACACGCUGGGCCGUACCUGACGCUAAAGCGCGACAGCAUGGGGAGCAAACGGG
This 253-nucleotide ribosomal RNA is filed under the name uncultured bacterium. Its description in RNAcentral is "partial 16S ribosomal RNA". It matches the Rfam family "Bacterial small subunit ribosomal RNA", at positions 524 to 776 of the family's 1533-position model. The record is from RNAcentral.